Dreissena polymorpha is the source of this 376-nucleotide long non-coding RNA. RefSeq lists it as uncharacterized. Lineage: Eukaryota; Metazoa; Mollusca; Bivalvia; Myida; Dreissenidae. The record is from RefSeq and is a predicted model, not a curated record. The transcript is spliced from 4 exons.
UCUGGAAUGUUUUGAAGCUCUGAAUAAGAAAAUUGAUGGUUUGGAGACGAAGGCUGAGAUGGAGGAUGAGUUUAGACGCCUGCUUCUGGCUCAGCUUAACAAAAUGCAGGAGAGUAUCGACAACCUGCAUAGAAAGAAGGCUGACAGCGAACAUGAAGCGGAUGAAAAAACGAAGCUGUAAUGUAAACACGAUACAUUAUGGGUGAUAUCGAUUUAGAACAGUCAGUGAAACAAAAAGUUCUUACACUAAUGGUCUGUAGGAACGAUGUAUAUUUCAGCUCUAUGGAGUAUGUAUACUUUAAUCAUCGUGCAACAAUGAAUGCUUUUAUAAUAAAUGUUGCACGUUAUAAUGCCCAAACUAUGUAUUACGUCUUUA